Molecule: ribosomal RNA, 404 nt
Filed under: uncultured prokaryote
Description: bacterial SSU rRNA
Rfam family: Bacterial small subunit ribosomal RNA
Source: RNAcentral
UGGGGAAUAUUGGGCAAUGGGCGAAAGCCUGACCCAGCAACGCCGCGUGAAGGAAGAAGGUCUUCGGAUUGUAAACUUCUUUGAUCAGGGACGAAUAAAUGACGGUACCUGAAGAACAAGCCACGGCUAACUACGUGCCAGCAGCCGCGGUAAUACGUAGGUGGCAAGCGUUAUCCGGAUUUACUGGGUGUACAGGGCGUGUAGGCGGCUCCGCAAGUCAGAUGUGAAAUUCCCGGGCUUAACCCGGGCGCUGCAUCUGACACUGCGGAACUUGAGUACUGGAGAGGAUAGUGGAAUUCCUAGUGUAGCGGUAAAAUGCGUAGAUAUUAGGAGGAACACCAGUGGCGAAGGCGGCUAUCUGGACAGUAACUGACGCUGAGGCGCGAAAGCGUGGGGAGCAAACA